Drosophila mojavensis is the source of this 501-nucleotide long non-coding RNA. RefSeq lists it as uncharacterized. The transcript is spliced from 2 exons. Lineage: Eukaryota; Metazoa; Arthropoda; Insecta; Diptera; Drosophilidae. The record is from RefSeq and is a predicted model, not a curated record.
GAAACUCUUCCUGACUUUCGGUCAACUUCUGCAGUGUAUCGUCUAGCGGCAAGCAUAUUGGCUGAAUAUUAUCUAUUUUAAUUUCCCAUUCUCGUCCCUGACCACUUCCUUUGAUAGUUUGAUCAAUUCUAUAUCAUUAUGACCAGUAAAUUGCGAGAAAUCCUUGUGCACAAUAACCUUAUCAAUUUGUAUGUCCUCAACUGGAGGCGCGCAAAUAUACAUAUAUUCCAUUUCCCUUGCCGGAGUCUGUUGCAUUCGAUUCGACAGCGAUAAACUUAUUGCGGUGGACGUAGUGCAAUUCUCGGAACUCAGUAAAAGAUUUCGGCAGUCAUCGGAAUAUUUUAAGAAAAAAAAAAAAAGUAAAGAAUAUAAGCAUAAUAUGAAAAUAAAUAUAUUAUGAGUAUGAUUCAACUACAACUAAUGAUAAAUGGAGCCUAAUUUUCUCAAUCCAUUUCAUAAUGUGAAUAAAAAAUUAAAAAAUUAUGGACAUCUUAAACUUGA